GAUGAACGCUGGCGGCGUGCCUAAUACAUGCAAGUCGAGCGAACAGAUGAGGAGCUUGCUCCUCUGACGUUAGCGGCGGACGGGUGAGUAACACGUGGAUAACCUACCUAUAAGACUGGGAUAACUUCGGGAAACCGGAGCUAAUACCGGAUAAUAUAUUGAACCGCAUGGUUCAAUAGUGAAAGACGGUUUUGCUGUCACUUAUAGAUGGAUCCGCGCCGCAUUAGCUAGUUGGUAAGGUAACGGCUUACCAAGGCAACGAUGCGUAGCCGACCUGAGAGGGGGGUGGGACAAAUGGGAACGGAGACAGGUGCAAGAACCCAAGGGAAGGCAGCAGUGGGGAAUUUUCCGAAAGGGGGGAAAGCCUGAGGGAGCAACGCGGGGGGGGGGAUGAAGGGUUUCGGAUCGUAAAACUCUGUUAUUGGGGAAAAAAAAAGGGGAAAGUAAAUAUGCACGUCUUGACGGUACCAAAUCAGAAAGCCACGGCUAACUACGU
This 496-nucleotide ribosomal RNA is filed under the name uncultured bacterium. RNAcentral's name for it is "partial 16S ribosomal RNA". It matches the Rfam family "Bacterial small subunit ribosomal RNA", at positions 28 to 506 of the family's 1533-position model. The record is from RNAcentral.